GAUGAAGAACGUAGCGAAAUGCGAUAAGUAGUGUGAAUUGCAGAAUUCAGUGAAUCAUCGAAUCUUUGAACGCACAUUGCGCCCUUUGGUAUUCCAAAGGGCAUGCCUGUUCGAGCGUCAUUUGUACCCUCAAGCUUUGCUUGGUGUUGGGCGUCUUGUCUCUAGCUUUGCUGGAGACUCGCCUUAAAGUAAUUGGCAGCCGGCCUACUGGUUUCGGAGCGCAGCACAAGUCGCACUCUCUAUCAGCAAAGGUCUAGCAUCAAUUAAGCCUUUUUUUCAACUUUUGACCUCGGAUCAGGUAGGGAUACCCGCUGAACUUAAGCAUAUCAAUAAGCGGAGGA
RNAcentral lists this unclassified non-coding RNA (341 nucleotides) under soil metagenome. Its description in RNAcentral is "partial contains 5.8S ribosomal RNA, internal transcribed spacer 2, and large subunit ribosomal RNA". The stretch from base 1 to 120 matches the Rfam family "5.8S ribosomal RNA", at positions 35 to 154 of the family's 154-position model. The record is from RNAcentral.